UCUCUCUCUCCCAUUCUCUGAACAACACAAACCCUCGUGGUUCAAAUGCAAAAUUGAAGGUCAAGACUCGAGAGUCUCGCAACAAGUCAAGAAGAAAACGUGAUCUACGGACGGAGGGCUACGCAUCUAUCCGAACAAAAUCUCGAUCGGCCAACUUUGGAGUUCCUAGCAAAUUCGGAGGUUUUCAUUUUUGAGGUAAGGCGGUGGAUCCGAAGACAUGAUAGUGUUUGGUUUGUUAUAUUUUUAUGAGCUUAGUUGAUAUACUUGUAUUCCAUUAAUUUGAUAGUAAGAUUUUGGAAGUCCUGUGACUUGGUAUUCUCUUGGGUUGUAAUAAAUUUAAUCACAUAUUUUGACUC
This is a long non-coding RNA of Rhododendron vialii, 356 nucleotides long. RefSeq lists it as uncharacterized. The record is from RefSeq and is a predicted model, not a curated record. Lineage: Eukaryota; Viridiplantae; Streptophyta; Magnoliopsida; Ericales; Ericaceae. The transcript is spliced from 2 exons.